GGGUUGUGAGGUUAAGCGACUAAGCGUACACGGUGGAUGCCCUGGCAGUCAGAGGCGAUGAAGGACGUGCUAAUCUGCGAUAAGCGCCGGUAAGGUGAUAUGAACCGUUAUAACCGGCGAUUUCCGAAUGGGGAAACCCAGUGUGACUCGUCACACUAUCAUUAACUGAAUCCAUAGGUUAAUGAGGCGAACCGGGGGAACUGAAACAUCUAAGUACCCCGAGGAAAAGAAAUCAACCGAGAUUCCCCCAGUAGCGGCGAGCGAACGGGGAGGAGCCCAGAGCCUGAAUCAGCAUGUGUGUUAGUGGAAGCGUCUGGAAAGGCGCGCGAUACAGGGUGACAGCCCCGUACACAAAAGCGCACAUGCUGUGAGCUCGAUGAGUAGGGCGGGACACGUGGUAUCCUGUCUGAAUAUGGGGGGACCAUCCUCCAAGGCUAAAUACUCCUGACUGACCGAUAGUGAACCAGUACCGUGAGGGAAAGGCGAAAAGAACCCCGGCGAGGGGAGUGAAAAAGAACCUGAAACCGUGUACGUACAAGCAGUGGGAGCACCCUUUGGGGUGUGACUGCGUACCUUUUGUAUAAUGGGUCAGCGACUUAUAUUCUGUAGCAAGGUUAACCGUAUAGGGGAGCCGGAGGGAAACCGAGUCUUAACCGGGCGUUAAGUUGCAGGGUAUAGACCCGAAACCCGGUGAUCUAGCCAUGGGCAGGUUGAAGGUUGGGUAACACUAACUGGAGGACCGAACCGACUAAUGUUGAAAAAUUAGCGGAUGACCUGUGGCUGGGGGUGAAAGGCCAAUCAAACCGGGAGAUAGCUGGUUCUCCCCGAAAGCUAUUUAGGUAGCGCCUCGUGAAUUCAUCUCCGGGGGUAGAGCACUGUUUCGGCUAGGGGGCCAUCCCGGCUUACCAACCCGAUGCAAACUGCGAAUACCGGAGAAUGUUAUCACGGGAGACACACGGCGGGUGCUAACGUCCGUCGUGAAGAGGGAAACAACCCAGACCGCCAGCUAAGGUCCCAAAGUCAUGGUUAAGUGGGAAACGAUGUGGGAAGGCCCAGACAGCCAGGAUGUUGGCUUAGAAGCAGCCAUCAUUUAAAGAAAGCGUAAUAGCUCACUGGUCGAGUCGGCCUGCGCGGAAGAUGUAACGGGGCUAAACCAUGCACCGAAGCUGCGGCAGCGAACGUAUCACUUAAAGCGAUUCAGCGGAUGACGAUUGACGGAGCGAAGCGACGUCAAAGCGUAUACAAAGUCGAGUCGGUUUAAGGAUACGUUCGUUGGGUAGGGGAGCGUUCUGUAAGCCUGCGAAGGUGGCCUGUGAGGGUUGCUGGAGGUAUCAGAAGUGCGAAUGCUGACAUAAGUAACGAUAAAGCGGGUGAAAAGCCCGCUCGCCGGAAGACCAAGGGUUCCUGUCCAACGUUAAUCGGGGCAGGGUGAGUCGACCCCUAAGGCGAGGCCGAAAGGCGUAGUCGAUGGGAAACGGGUUAAUAUUCCCGUACUUGAUGUUACUGCGAAGGGGGGACGGAGAAGGCUAUGUUGGCCGGGCGACGGUUGUCCCGGUUUAAGCGUGUAGGUGUGUGUUCCAGGUAAAUCCGGUUCACUUUAACACUGAGGCGUGAUGACGAGGCACUACGGUGCUGAAGCAACAAAUGCCCUGCUUCCAGGAAAAGCCUCUAAGCAUCAGGUAACAUCAAAUCGUACCCCAAACCGACACAGGUGGUCAGGUAGAGAAUACCAAGGCGCUUGAGAGAACUCGGGUGAAGGAACUAGGCAAAAUGGUGCCGUAACUUCGGGAGAAGGCACGCUGACACGUAGGUGAAGUGAUUUACUCAUGGAGCUGAAGUCAGUCGAAGAUACCAGCUGGCUGCAACUGUUUAUUAAAAACACAGCACUGUGCAAACACGAAAGUGGACGUAUACGGUGUGACGCCUGCCCGGUGCCGGAAGGUUAAUUGAUGGGGUCAGCGCAAGCGAAGCUCCUGAUCGAAGCCCCGGUAAACGGCGGCCGUAACUAUAACGGUCCUAAGGUAGCGAAAUUCCUUGUCGGGUAAGUUCCGACCUGCACGAAUGGCGUAAUGAUGGCCAGGCUGUCUCCACCCGAGACUCAGUGAAAUUGAACUCGCUGUGAAGAUGCAGUGUACCCGCGGCAAGACGGAAAGACCCCGUGAACCUUUACUAUAGCUUGACACUGAACAUUGAGCCUUGAUGUGUAGGAUAGGUGGGAGGCUUUGAAGUGUGGACGCCAGUCUGCAUGGAGCCGGCCUUGAAAUACCACCCUUUAAUGUUUGAUGUUCUAACGUGGACCCGUAAUCCGGGUUGCGGACAGUGUCUGGUGGGUAGUUUGACUGGGGCGGUCUCCUCCUAAAGAGUAACGGAGGAGCACGAAGGUUGGCUAAUCCUGGUCGGACAUCAGGAGGUUAGUGCAAUGGCAUAAGCCAGCUUGACUGCGAGCGUGACGGCGCGAGCAGGUGCGAAAGCAGGUCAUAGUGAUCCGGUGGUUCUGAAUGGAAGGGCCAUCGCUCAACGGAUAAAAGGUACUCCGGGGAUAACAGGCUGAUACCGCCCAAGAGUUCAUAUCGACGGCGGUGUUUGGCACCUCGAUGUCGGCUCAUCACAUCCUGGGGCUGAAGUAGGUCCCAAGGGUAUGGCUGUUCGCCAUUUAAAGUGGUACGCGAGCUGGGUUUAGAACGUCGUGAGACAGUUCGGUCCCUAUCUGCCGUGGGCGCUGGAGAACUGAGGGGGGCUGCUCCUAGUACGAGAGGACCGGAGUGGACGCAUCACUGGUGUUCGGGUUGUCAUGCCAAUGGCACUGCCCGGUAGCUAAAUGCGGAAGAGAUAAGUGCUGAAAGCAUCUAAGCACGAAACUUGCCCCGAGAUGAGUUCUCCCUGAGACUUAGAGUCUCCUGAAGGAACGUUGAAGACGACGACGUUGAUAGGCCGGGUGUGUAAGCGCAGCGAUGCGUUGAGCUAACCGGUACUAAUGAACCGUGAGGCUUAACCUUACAACGCCGAAG
Molecule: ribosomal RNA, 3008 nt
Filed under: Salmonella enterica subsp. enterica serovar Quebec str. S-1267
Lineage: Bacteria; Pseudomonadati; Pseudomonadota; Gammaproteobacteria; Enterobacterales; Enterobacteriaceae
Description: bacterial LSU rRNA
Rfam family: Bacterial large subunit ribosomal RNA
Source: RNAcentral